This 449-nucleotide ribosomal RNA is filed under the name uncultured bacterium. Its description in RNAcentral is "bacterial SSU rRNA". It matches the Rfam family "Bacterial small subunit ribosomal RNA", at positions 355 to 796 of the family's 1533-position model. The record is from RNAcentral.
UGGGGAAUAUUGGACAAUGGGGGGAACCCUGAUCCAGCAAUGCCGCGUGUGUGAAGAAGGCCUGAGGGUUGUAAAGCACUUUCGGUGGGGAGGAGAGGUAUAUGAUUAAGAGUUGUGUACUGAGACGUUACCCACAGAAGAAGCACCGGCUAACUCCGUGCCAGCAGCCGCGGUAAUACGGGGGGUGCGAGCGUUAAUCGGAAUUACUGGGCGUAAAGAGUGCGUAGGUGGUUUAUUAAGUUAUGUGUGAAAUGCCUGGGCUUAACCUGGGAAUGGCAGAUGAUACUGAUAGACUUGAGUAUAGGAGAGGGUAGUGGAAUUUCCGGUGUAGCGGUGAAAUGCGUAGAUAUCGGAAGGAACACCAGUGGCGAAGGCGGCUACCUGGCCUGAUACUGACACUGAGGCACGAAAGCGUGGGGAGCAAACAGGAUUAGAUACCCGGGUAGUCC